Molecule: non-coding RNA, 26 nt
Filed under: Cricetulus griseus (Chinese hamster)
Lineage: Eukaryota; Metazoa; Chordata; Mammalia; Rodentia; Cricetidae
Source: RNAcentral
AUUGAUGAAAUGGUUUAUCUUGUCAG